UAGGGAAUCUUCGGCAAUGGACGAAAGUCUGACCGAGCAACGCCGCGUGAGUGAAGAAGGUUUUCGGAUCGUAAAACUCUGUUGUUAGAGAAGAACAAGGACGUUAGUAACUGAACGUCCCCUGACGGUAUCUAACCAGAAAGCCACGGCUAACUACGUGCCAGCAGCCGCGGUAAUACGUAGGUGGCAAGCGUUGUCCGGAUUUAUUGGGAGUAAAGCGAGCGCAGGCGGUUUCUUAAGUCUGAUGUGAAAGCCCCCGGCUCAACCGGGGAGGGUCAUUGGAAACGGGGAGACUUGAGUGCAGAAGAGGAGAGUGGAAUUCCAUGAGUAGCGGUGAAAUGCGUAGAUAUAUGGAGGAACACCAGUGGCGAAGGCGGCUCUCUGGUCUGUAACUGACGCUGAGGCUCGAAAGCGUGGGGAGCAAACAGG
Molecule: ribosomal RNA, 429 nt
Filed under: Gemmatimonadota bacterium
Lineage: Bacteria; Pseudomonadati; Gemmatimonadota
Description: Gemmatimonadetes bacterium partial 16S ribosomal RNA
Rfam family: Bacterial small subunit ribosomal RNA
Source: RNAcentral